Musa acuminata AAA Group (dessert banana) is the source of this 1178-nucleotide long non-coding RNA. RefSeq lists it as uncharacterized. NCBI's taxonomy places the organism in Eukaryota, Viridiplantae, Streptophyta, Magnoliopsida, Zingiberales, Musaceae. The record is from RefSeq and is a predicted model, not a curated record. The transcript has 4 exons.
AGUCACAACCCGCAACAUCUUGAUGUUUUCGCCGCUCGCCGUCGGCUUCCUACGUGCUCGUCGUCUCUGCAUUCCCCGAUCGAUUCCUUCGCUUUCUGUUCUUCCGCGUCCCUCCUCUUCUCCUUCUCGAUUGUAGGGCUUCGAUCGUUGGGAGCUCUGGAGGCGCGAAGAUGAAGAUCGAUUGCACAUUGGGCCCGUUCCUGAGGGAGGGGAAGACCUCGAGACCCUGGACGACUUGCGAACGUCUAUGGAGAACGCCGGCAUCCUCUUCGCUGUCAUGCUCGACAACAAGGUCUCUCCUUUUUCAGUUUUCCUCCCCCUCCUCCUCUUAUUCCCGCUGUGGCGUCCUUGCCGGUUCUCCUUUCCCUUUUAUUGGAAUUCUGUUUCCUCGUCGUGUAGUUGACAGUACUGGUUGCUCCUGGUGCCUUUUACUGUUGUUCAGAAAUCUUAAGUGCAUGAGAUGGGAUUGAGAUAAAAUAUCUUGGACUGUCUUUUUAGGCUCUGGGUAAAGUAUGAUGCCAAAUGGAAAGAAAGAACAGGGAUGUGAACCAUUAUUAUAUGGCUGCAGGAGAUUAGAGAAGAGAUCCAAGGUGCAGUCUUUUUCUCUCUCUGUGGAGCUGAAUCAGGUGAUGCUGAGAGGGUGUGGUUUAAAGUCCACUGCAAGAUGUGAUCAGUUGGAAACACAAUCUUCACGGAAGAGGAAAGAAGUAAAAUUGAUCAACCCCUUCAAGUCAGCAUUGGUCUUCGACAGGACCACCAAACUCGAUGGUGCCAUGGAAAAGAUUUCUUUAGAGAGAGACAGAGAGAGAGUAGAAUAAAAGAAUCAGGACAAAAAGACAACCAUUAGCUGUUCAUACAGGUACGUGUGGUUUUAGGCAGAGAGCCUCAAUCACACGGUUGGAGACAAAAACGAGUGUACGAGAGAAUGACCUCUUGCAAAUAUAUUGAUUUGGUCAAAAGAGGCUGCUGCACUGCAUCUGAUGGAAUGUUCAACGCUCUUCUGGAACUCAGCUAUCCGAAGAUGAAGAUGAAGAUGAAGAUGAAGCUUCAGCUUACAAUACGCAAUCCACACUCCUCGGCUUCCAAGCCUGCAAUUAAUUGUGAAGUUUAUGAUGUCAAGCACAGAAAUAUGCUUCAGAAAUGAGACAUUAGUUGAAACAAACCUAUUCACUGGUGCU